CAUCUUUUUUCAUCUUAACACCCAAAGAAAAAACUUUUUAGCCAACGGGCACGUAGCACACAGCUCUCGAGCCGUUACACGGCUAGUUUGGGUAUAGGGGUUAACCAUUGGUUAACGUGACUGUUCGCCAACAGUAACCUCAUCUUUCCAAAAAAAUUGGAAACUGUUUCGAUGAUAACUAAGGGCUUUUAAAAACAGAAUAUUCUCCAUUAAUUUCACCUCUCGGUUAACUGUGCCACGGUUAUAAAUAACGGAGGAAUACAUCCCUUCCAUUUCACCCGAGCCAUUCUGCCUGUUCA
RNAcentral lists this long non-coding RNA (299 nucleotides) under Setaria viridis. RNAcentral describes it as "long non-coding RNA (SVIR_LNC010626)". Lineage: Eukaryota; Viridiplantae; Streptophyta; Magnoliopsida; Poales; Poaceae. The record is from RNAcentral.